CAAGAGCGUAUGUAAAAGUUGUUGCAGUUAAAAAGCUCGUAGUUGAACCUUGGGUUUGGUUGGCCGGUCCGCUUUUUUGCGAGUACUGGAUUCAACCGAGCCUUUCCUUCUGGCUAACCAGUCGUUUCGGCGGCUGGCGAACCAGGAUUUUUACUUUGAGAAAAUUAGAGUGUUCAAAGCAGGCAUUAGCUUGAAUAUAUUAGCAUGGAAUAAUAGAAUAGGACGUUAUGGUUCUAUUUUGUUGGUUUCUAGGACCAUCGUAAUGAUUAAUAGGGACGGUCGGGGGCAUCAGUAUUCAGUUGUCAGAGGUGAAAUUCUUGGAUUUACUGAAGACUAACUACUGCGAAAGCGUUUGCCAAGGACGUUUUCAUUAA
This 374-nucleotide ribosomal RNA is filed under the name uncultured eukaryote. RNAcentral's name for it is "partial 18S ribosomal RNA". It matches the Rfam family "Eukaryotic small subunit ribosomal RNA", at positions 592 to 976 of the family's 1831-position model. The record is from RNAcentral.